UAAGUACCUACAUAGUUCAUAUUAUAUAGCGGAAUACAUAUAUUUUGAUUUGGCUCGUCCCCGAAGCCCGAAUCGUUAUUCAAUUUUUUGCGGUCAUUGAGCCAGGCUUUUUUUUCGCUGCUACUAGACCUUCUCAUUCAUAAAAGCUAUCACCAUGAGUUACUGGAGGGCCGCUGGAUUGAACUAUGUUAAUUAUUCCAACAUUGCUGCAAAAGUUGUAAGGAGGGUGUUGAAGCCAGAACUCCAAGCUAAUGCAAGCAAACGUGAUGAAACACAUGUAAAAUUCACCCCAUGGGUUAAGGGAAAGCCAUCCAAUGAAAAAGCUUGAACUUAUAUAAAUUAAACGAUUGAAAAGUUGUUAUACAUUUUUAGUAAGUUAUGAGCCUGGCCAAUAGUCGAUUUAACAAAAAUGACACAUUCAAAUUAAGAGUAAAAUUUAUUGUAAUAUGUUGUUUUAGUACAUGUUACAAUAACCCAAUGUAACUUAUUUAAUAAACAAACAUACAUAUUAUUUUA
This is an RNA transcript of Aphis gossypii (cotton aphid), 516 nucleotides long. It is a transcript of the gene named protein stunted-like, with no coding region annotated. The transcript is spliced from 4 exons. NCBI's taxonomy places the organism in Eukaryota, Metazoa, Arthropoda, Insecta, Hemiptera, Aphididae. The record is from RefSeq and is a predicted model, not a curated record.